Molecule: long non-coding RNA, 319 nt
Organism: Chrysolophus pictus (golden pheasant)
Lineage: Eukaryota; Metazoa; Chordata; Aves; Galliformes; Phasianidae
Source: Ensembl
GAAUUUGGGGUCGAUUCUGCAGAAUUUGGGGUCACAGCUGCAGAAUUUGGGGUCACAGCCGUUGAAUUUGGGGUCACAGCCUCUGAUUUUGGGGCUGAUUCUGCAGAAAUUGGGGUCAGAGCUGCAGAAUUUGGGGUCAGAGCCGCAGAAUUUGGGGUCGAUUCUGCAGAAUUUGGGUCACAGCCGUUGAGUUUGGGGCCAAUUCUGCAGAAAUUGGGGUCAGAGCUGCCGAAUUUGGGGUCGAUUCUGCAGAAUUUGGGGUCACAGCUGCAGAAUUUGGGGUCACAGCUGUUGAGUUCGGGGCUGAUUCUGCAGAAUU